GCCUGAUCCAGCCAUGCCGCGUGUGUGAAGAAGGUCUUCGGAUUGUAAAGCACUUUAAGUUGGGAGGAAGGGUUUCUGGCUAAUAUCCAGGAAUUUUGACGUUACCGACAGAAUAAGCACCGGCUAACUUCGUGCCAGCAGCCGCGGUAAUACGAAGGGUGCAAGCGUUAAUCGGAAUUACUGGGCGUAAAGCGCGCGUAGGUGGUUCGUUAAGUUGGAUGUGAAAGCCCCGGGCUCAACCUGGGAACUGCAUCCAAAACUGGCGAGCUAGAGUAUGGCAGAGGGUGGUGGAAUUUCCUGUGUAGCGGUGAAAUGCGUAGAUAUAGGAAGGAACACCAGUGGCGAAGGCGACCACCUGGGCUAAUACUGACACUGAGGUGCGAAAGCGUGGGGAGCAAUCAGGAUUAGAUACCCUGGUAGUCCACGCCGUAAACGAUGUCGACUAGCCGUUGGGCUCCUUGAGAGCUUAGUGGCGCAGCUAACGCAUUAAGUCGACCGC
RNAcentral lists this ribosomal RNA (499 nucleotides) under Stutzerimonas stutzeri. RNAcentral's name for it is "bacterial SSU rRNA". It matches the Rfam family "Bacterial small subunit ribosomal RNA", at positions 381 to 872 of the family's 1533-position model. Lineage: Bacteria; Pseudomonadati; Pseudomonadota; Gammaproteobacteria; Pseudomonadales; Pseudomonadaceae. The record is from RNAcentral.